RNAcentral lists this long non-coding RNA (344 nucleotides) under Xyrichtys novacula (pearly razorfish). Lineage: Eukaryota; Metazoa; Chordata; Actinopteri; Labriformes; Labridae. The record is from RNAcentral.
GGGUUAGGGUUAGGGUUAGGGUUGGAGCUAGGGUUAGGGUUAGGGUUAGGGUUGGAGUUAGGGUUAGUGUUGGAGCUAGGGUUAGGGUUGGGCUUGGAGCUAGGAUUUUUCUGAGUGCACUGAACCAACUCCCGAGUCUCUAGGACAUUCCUAAAAAAAAUUGAUUUUUUCCCAUAGGAAUGCAUGGGUUAGGGUUAUGGUUAGGGUUAGGGUUGGAGCUAGGGUUAGGGUUAGGGUUAGGGUUGGAGUUAGGGUUAGUUUUGGAGCUAGGGUUAGGGUUGGGCUUGGAGCUAGGAUUUUUCUGAGUGCACUGAACCAACUCCCGAGUCUCUAGGACGUUCCUA